GGAAUAUUGGUCAAUGGACGAAAGUCUGAACCAGCCAAGUAGCGUGCAGGAUGACGGCCCUAUGGGUUGUAAACUGCUUUUAUACAGGGAUAAAGUCGGGAACGUGUUCCCGUUUGUAGGUACUGUAUGAAUAAGGACCGGCUAAUUCCGUGCCAGCAGCCGCGGUAAUACGGAAGGUCCGGGCGUUAUCCGGAUUUAUUGGGUUUAAAGGGAGCGCAGGCGGAAGGUUAAGCGUGACGUGAAAUGUACCGGCUCAACCGGUGAUGUGCGUCGCGAACUGGCUUUCUUGAGUGAGUACGACGCUGGCGGAAUUCGUGGUGUAGCGGUGAAAUGCUUAGAUAUCACGAAGAACUCCGAUUGCGAAGGCAGCCGGCGAGUCCUCAACUGACGCUAAUGCUCGAAAGUGCGGGUAUCGAACA
This 419-nucleotide ribosomal RNA is filed under the name uncultured Prevotella sp. RNAcentral describes it as "bacterial SSU rRNA". It matches the Rfam family "Bacterial small subunit ribosomal RNA", at positions 358 to 774 of the family's 1533-position model. The record is from RNAcentral. Lineage: Bacteria; Pseudomonadati; Bacteroidota; Bacteroidia; Bacteroidales; Prevotellaceae.